CCUACGGGAGGCACCAGUGGGGAAUAUUGCACAAUGGGCGCAAGCCUGAUGCAGCCAUGCCGCGUGUAUGAAGAAGGCCUUCGGGUUGUAAAGUACUUUCAGCGGGGAGGAAGGCGAUAAGGUUAAUAACCUCGUCGAAUGACGUUACCCGCAGAAGAAGCACCGGCUAACUCCGUGCCAGCAGCCGCGGUAAUACGGAGGGUGCAAGCGUUAAUCGGAAUUACUGGGCGUAAAGCGCACGCAGGCGGUCUGUCAAGUCGGAUGUGAAAUCCCCGGGCUCAACCUGGGAACUGCAUUCGAAACUGGCAGGCUAGAGUCUUGUAGAGGGGGGUAGAAUUCCAGGUGUAGCGGUGAAAUGCGUAGAGAUCUGGAGGAAUACCGGUGGCGAAGGCGGCCCCCUGGACAAAGACUGACGCUCAGGUGCGAAAGCGUGGGGAGCAAACAGGAUUAGAUACCCGGG
Molecule: ribosomal RNA, 460 nt
Filed under: uncultured bacterium
Lineage: Bacteria
Description: bacterial SSU rRNA
Rfam family: Bacterial small subunit ribosomal RNA
Source: RNAcentral